RNAcentral lists this unclassified non-coding RNA (759 nucleotides) under Hevea brasiliensis (rubber tree). The record is from RNAcentral. Lineage: Eukaryota; Viridiplantae; Streptophyta; Magnoliopsida; Malpighiales; Euphorbiaceae.
GAAAGGUCUCCGUUACUCUUCAAAAGCCAUAACAUGCAACGUAAAGAAAUCACUGAUCCUAGCUUGGUUUGGCCUUCUCCACCAAGCGGAAACAUCCAUACCAGGACUGAUAAUAUUUCUACCAACAAAUCUGCAUAUUUCUCCACCGUAGAAGAGCUACUUAUUGCUUGUGCAAAUGACUCAAAAGCAGCUGCUAAUACACAGCCAGCUCCAUUAUCCACAAUAGACCUUUUAUUUCGUUCGCUUUCCUUUCCCCAGUACUUGAUCUUCAACACCAAUUCUUUACACUUCUUAUGAUCCCCACGUUGAGUUGCCGCUACAAUUCUCUUACAAAUAUCUGAAACCUCGUACGGCGUGACCGGAAUACGAGGAGUAGGAAUUCUUUCAAUCCCAUAAGAUCGAUUCUCAACACACCAGUCUUGGAUCAUCUUGCGUAUGAAAUGGUUUGGUAUUUGAUCGAUGCUCAACAAAACCUGAUUAGUAACAGGACAAGUCUGGUUACCAUCUUCUAUCCACUUGUCAAUGCUUUCUCGAUCAUAAGUGAUCCCCGUCGACAAAGUAACCGGAUCUUUCAUCAAGUCAAGAGAAAUCGGGCACCGGAAAUGAAUUGGAACCAAGACCAAAUUUUUGGGGGAAAUCAUCUUCGUUGUUUUUUUUUUUUCUUGAAGGGGGAGCCGUAUCUCUUCUUCUCCUCCAAGAUAACAUCAUGAACGAUAGAUCAAAAGAAGAAAUAUUAAAAAAAGAAAGGGUAUGCUUUUU